AGAGUUUGAUCCUGGCUCAGGAUAACGCUGGCGGCGUGCCUAACACAUGCAAGUCGAACGAUCCCGCAAGGGAGAGUGGCGGAAGGGUGAGUAACACGUGGGAAUCUACCUCUCGCAGGGAACAACCUCUCGAAAGAGAGGCUAAUACCCAAAAGGGUCAGAAAUGAUCAGAGUCGAAAGGCGUGAGGAGAGGAGCCCGCGGCCCAUCAGCUAGUUGGGUGAGGUAAUGGCUUACCAAGGCUACGACGGGUAGGGGAUCUGAGAGGAUGUCCCCCACACUGGAACUGAAACACGGUCCAGACGCCUACGGGUGGCAGCAGUGAGGAAUAUUGGACAAUGGGCGAAAGCCCGAUCCAGCAACGCCGCGUGGAGGAUGAAGGCCUUCGGGUCGUAAACUUCUUUAGAGGGAGACGAGAAAGGACGGUAUCCCUAGAAUAAGCGACGGCAAACUACGUG
RNAcentral lists this ribosomal RNA (456 nucleotides) under uncultured bacterium. RNAcentral describes it as "bacterial SSU rRNA". It matches the Rfam family "Bacterial small subunit ribosomal RNA", at positions 8 to 507 of the family's 1533-position model. The record is from RNAcentral.